Molecule: ribosomal RNA, 253 nt
Filed under: uncultured bacterium
Lineage: Bacteria
Description: partial 16S ribosomal RNA
Rfam family: Bacterial small subunit ribosomal RNA
Source: RNAcentral
UACGUAGGGGGCAAGCGUUGUCCGGAAUCAUUGGGCGUAAAGCGCGCGUAGGCGGCCCGGUAAGUCCGCUGUAAAAGUCCAGGGCUCAACCCUGGGAAGCCGGUGGAUACUGUCGGGCUAGAGUCCGGAAGAGGCGAGUGGAAUUCCUGGUGUAGCGGUGGAAUGCGCAGAUAUCAGGAGGAACACCGAUGGCGAAGGCAGCUCGCUGGGACGGUACUGACGCUGAGGCGCGAAAGCGUGGGGAGCGAACAGG